UCUUUAGUAUAAGUAUGUCUCAGGCAAUGUUUGGGACAUACUUAUGCUAAAA
This is a microRNA precursor of Sus scrofa (pig), 52 nucleotides long. It matches the Rfam family "mir-1302 microRNA precursor family". Lineage: Eukaryota; Metazoa; Chordata; Mammalia; Artiodactyla; Suidae. The record is from Rfam.